This 395-nucleotide unclassified non-coding RNA is filed under the name soil metagenome. Its description in RNAcentral is "partial contains 5.8S ribosomal RNA, internal transcribed spacer 2, and large subunit ribosomal RNA". The stretch from base 1 to 122 matches the Rfam family "5.8S ribosomal RNA", at positions 35 to 154 of the family's 154-position model. The record is from RNAcentral.
GAUGAAGAACGUAGCGAAAUGCGAUACUUGGUGUGAAUUGCAGAAUCCCGUGAACCAUCGAGUCUUUGAACGCAAGUUGCGCCCGAAGCCAUCAGGUUGAGGGCACGUCUGCCUGGGCGUCACAUAUCGUUGCCCAACGCCUAUUGCAGUGCAAUAGGAAUUUCUAGGGCGAAUGAUGGCUUCCCGUGAGCGUUGUUGCCUCGCGGUUGGUUGAAAAUCGAGUCCUUGGUAGGGUGUGCCAUGGUAGAUGGUGGUCGAGUUAGAACGAUACCGAUCAUGUGCAUGCUCCCCAAAAUAUGGCCUCUAUGACCCACACGCGUCUUUUGACGCUCAUGACGAGACCUCAGGUCAGGCGGGGCUACCCGCUGAAUUUAAGCAUAUCAAUAAGCGGAGGA